Small nuclear RNA from Lemur catta (Ring-tailed lemur), 184 nucleotides. RefSeq annotates it as U2 spliceosomal RNA. The record is from RefSeq and is a predicted model, not a curated record. The transcript has a single exon. Lineage: Eukaryota; Metazoa; Chordata; Mammalia; Primates; Lemuridae.
AUCCCUUCUCAGCCUUUGGCUAAGAUCCAGUGUAGUAUCUGCUCUUAUCAGUUUGAUAUAAAGAGUUGAAAUGUUGCUUUAAGAGAUAAAACAGGAAACCAUAAGACAAAGAAGAGAGGUUGGGCCAGACAGCCCGGCAAGGGCCCUCUUCAUUUGCGUGAACGUGUGUCAUGGCCCAGUCAGU